Molecule: ribosomal RNA, 116 nt
Filed under: Pteropus alecto (black flying fox)
Lineage: Eukaryota; Metazoa; Chordata; Mammalia; Chiroptera; Pteropodidae
Source: RNAcentral
GUCUACGGCCAUGCCACCCUGAAUAAGCCUGAUGUCUGAUCUCGGAAGCUACGCAGGGUCGAGCCUGGUUACUAUUUGGAUGGGAGACCACCUAGGAAGACCGGGUGCUGUAGGCA